CCUACGGGAGGCAGCAGUAAGGAAUAUUGGUCAAUGGACGCAAGUCUGAACCAGCCAUGCCGCGUGAAGGAUGAAGGUCCUCUGGAUUGUAAACUUCUUUUAUAGGGGACGAAAAAAGGGCAUUCUUGCUCACUUGACGGUACCCUAGGAAUAAGCACCGGCUAACUCCGUGCCAGCAGCCGCGGUAAUACGGAGGGUGCAAGCGUUAUCCGGAUUUACUGGGUUUAAAGGGUGCGUAGGUGGGUCUGUAAGUCAGUGGUGAAAUCUCCGGGCUUAACCCGGAAACUGCCAUUGAUACUAUAGGUCUUGAAUACUCUGGAGGUAAGCGGAAUAUGUCAUGUAGCGGUGAAAUGCUUAGAUAUGACAUAGAACACCAAUUGCGAAGGCAGCUUACUACGGGGUUAUUGACACUGAGGCACGAAAGCGUGGGGAUCAAACAGGAUUAGAUACCCUGGUAGUCCACGCCUAAACGAUGGAUACUCGACAUCAGCGAUACACUGUUGGUGUCUGNGAGAAGANAUAGUAUCCACCGAGGAGACGACGCGAAGUAGUAAGUUAGAAAGUAAGUUAGAGCGNGAGAGNGCGACGACGACGACGAGGAGGAGG
RNAcentral lists this ribosomal RNA (606 nucleotides) under uncultured bacterium. RNAcentral's name for it is "bacterial SSU rRNA". The stretch from base 1 to 531 matches the Rfam family "Bacterial small subunit ribosomal RNA", at positions 338 to 873 of the family's 1533-position model. The record is from RNAcentral.